GCAGCGCGGGGCAACCUGGCGGCGAGUGGCGAACGGGUGAGUAAUAUAUCGGAACGUACCCAAGAGUGGGGGAUAACGCAGCGAAAGUUGCGCUAAUACCGCAUACGAUCUAUGGAUGAAAGCAGGGGACCGCAAGGCCUUGUGCUCCUGGAGCGGCCGAUAUCUGAUUAGCUAGUUGGUGAGGUAAAGGCUCACCAAGGCGACGAUCAGUAGCUGGUCUGAGAGGACGACCAGCCACACUGGAACUGAGACACGGUCCAGACUCCUACGGGAGGCAGCAGUGGGGAAUUUUGGACAAUGGGCGCAAGCCUGAUCCAGCAAUGCCGCGUGAGUGAAGAAGGCCUUCGGGUUGUAAAGCUCUUUUGUCAGGGAAGAAACGGCUGUGGCUAAUAUCCACGGCUAAUGACGGUACCUGAAGAAUAAGCACCGGCUAACUACGUGCCAGCAGCCGCGGUAAUACGUAGGGUGCAAGCGUUAAUCGGAAUUACUGGGCGUAAAGCGUGCGCAGGCGGUUUUGUAAGUCUGACGUGAAAUCCCCGGGCUUAACCUGGGAAUUGCGUUGGAGACUGCAAGGCUAGAAUCUGGCAGAGGGGGGUAGAAUUCCACGUGUAGCAGUGAAAUGCGUAGAGAUGUGGAGGAACACCGAUGGCGAAGGCAGCCCCCUGGGUCAAGAUUGACGCUCAUGCACGAAAGCGUGGGGAGCAAACAGGAUUAGAUACCCUGGUAGUCCACGCCCUAAACGAUGUCUACUAGUUGUCGGGUCUUAAUUGACUUGGUAACGCAGCUAACGCGUGAAGUAGACCGCCUGGGGAGUAC
This 816-nucleotide ribosomal RNA is filed under the name uncultured bacterium. RNAcentral describes it as "bacterial SSU rRNA". It matches the Rfam family "Bacterial small subunit ribosomal RNA", at positions 69 to 883 of the family's 1533-position model. The record is from RNAcentral.